GAUGAACGCUGGCGGCGUGCCUAAUACAUGCAAGUAGAACGCUGAAGGAGGAGCUUGCUCUUCUGGAUGAGUUGCGAACGGGUGGGUAACGCGUAGGUAACCUGCCUGGUAGCGGGGGAUAACUAUUGGAAACGAUAGCUAAUACCGCAUGACAACAGUUAUUGCAUGAUAACUGUUUAAAAGGGGCAACUGCUCCACUACCAGAUGGACCUGCGUUGUAUUAGCUAGUUGGUGAGGUAACGGCUCACCAAGGCGACGAUACAUAGCCGACCUGAGAGGGUGAUCGGCCACACUGGGACUGAGACACGGCCCAGACUCCUACGGGAGGCAGCAGUAGGGAAUCUUCGGCAAUGGACGGAAGUCUGACCGAGCAACGCCGCGUGAGUGAAGAAGGUUUUCGGAUCGUAAAGCUCUGUUGUAAGAGAAGAACGAGUGUGAGAGUGGAAAGUUCACACUGUGACGGUAGCUUACCAGAAAGGGACGGCUAACUACGUG
This 495-nucleotide ribosomal RNA is filed under the name uncultured bacterium. Its description in RNAcentral is "partial 16S ribosomal RNA". It matches the Rfam family "Bacterial small subunit ribosomal RNA", at positions 28 to 507 of the family's 1533-position model. The record is from RNAcentral.